GACGAACGCUGGCGGCGUGCCUAAUACAUGCAAGUCGAACGAAGCUGUUUUAACUGGUGCUUGCACCGACUUAAACAACUGAGUGGCGAACGGGUGAGUAACACGUGGGUAACCUGCCCCAAAGCGGGGGAUAAUAUUUGGAAACGGAUGCUAAUACCGCAUAACCACAGAAACCACAUGCUUUCUGUGCCAAAGAUGGUUUGGGCUAUCACUUUGGGAUGAACAUGCGGCGUAUUAGCUAGUUGGUAAGGUAAUGGCUUACCAAGGCAAUGAUACGUAGCCGAACUGAGAGGUUGAUCGGCCACAUUGGGACUGAGACACGGCCCAAACUCCUACGGGAGGAAGCAGUAGGGAAUCUUCCACAAUGGACGAAAGUCUGAUGGAGCAACGCCGCGUGAGUGAAGAAGGUUUUCGGAUCGUAAAACUCUUGUGUCAGAGAAGAACGUGUGCGAGAGUAACUGCUCGUGCAGUGACGGUAUCUGGCCAGAAAGCCACGGCUAACUACGUGCCAGCAGCAGCCGCCG
This 524-nucleotide ribosomal RNA is filed under the name uncultured bacterium. Its description in RNAcentral is "partial 16S ribosomal RNA". It matches the Rfam family "Bacterial small subunit ribosomal RNA", at positions 28 to 523 of the family's 1533-position model. The record is from RNAcentral.